AGUCGAACGACGUUACGGGGGCAACUCCGUAGCGAGUGGCGUACGGGUGAGUAAUGCAUCGGAACGUGCCCUCUUGUGGGGGAUAACCAGUCGAAAGAUUGGCUAAUACCGCAUGAGCUCGAGAGAGGAAAGCGGGGGAUCCGCAAGGACCUCGCGCGAGAGGAGCGGCCGAUGCCCGAUUAGCUAGUUGGUGGGGUAAUAGCCCACCAAGGCGACGAUCGGUAGCUGGUCUGAGAGGACGACCAGCCACACUGGGACUGAGACACGGCCCAGACUUCUACGGGAGGCAGCAGUGGGGAAUUUUGGACAAUGGGGGAAACCCUGAUCCAGCCAUGCCGCGUGUGUGAAGAAGGCCUUCGGGUUGUAAAGCACUUUCGGACGGAACGAAAUCGCGCGGGUGAACAAUCCGCGUGGAUGACGGUACCGUAGGAAGAAGCACCGGCUAACUACGUGCCAGCAGCCGCGGUAAUACGUAGGGUGCGAGCGUUAAUCGGAAUUACUGGGCGUAAAGCGUGCGCAGGCGGCGCCGCAAGUCAGGCGUGAAAUCCCCGAGCUUAACUUGGGAAUGGCGCUUGAAACUACGGUGCUGGAGUGUGGCAGAGGGAGGUGGAAUUCCACGUGUAGCGGUGAAAUGCGUAGAGAUGUGGAGGAACACCGAUGGCGAAGGCAGCCUCCUGGGCCAACACUGACGCUCAUGCACGAAAGCGUGGGGAGCAAACAGGAUUAGAUACCCUGGUAGUCCACGCCCUAAACGAUGAUGACUAGUUGUUGGGGG
Molecule: ribosomal RNA, 775 nt
Filed under: uncultured beta proteobacterium
Lineage: Bacteria; Pseudomonadati; Pseudomonadota; Betaproteobacteria
Description: bacterial SSU rRNA
Rfam family: Bacterial small subunit ribosomal RNA
Source: RNAcentral